RNAcentral lists this ribosomal RNA (263 nucleotides) under uncultured prokaryote. RNAcentral's name for it is "partial 16S ribosomal RNA". It matches the Rfam family "Bacterial small subunit ribosomal RNA", at positions 524 to 782 of the family's 1533-position model. The record is from RNAcentral.
UACGGAGGAUGCGAGCGUUAUCCGGAUUUAUUGGGUUUAAAGGGUGCGUAGGCGGCUUUUUAAGUCAGCGGUGAAAUUUUGUCAGCUUAACUGUAAAAUUAGCCGUUGAAACUAGUCGGUCUUGAGUGCAAAUGAGGUAGGCGGAAUGUGUCGUGUAGCGGUGAAAUGCAUAGAUAUGACACAGAACACCAAUUGCGAAGGCAGCUUACUGGGAUGCAACUGACACUGAGGCACGAAGGCGUGGGGAGUCAAACAGGAUUAGA